RNAcentral lists this long non-coding RNA (203 nucleotides) under Ananas comosus (pineapple). RNAcentral's name for it is "long non-coding RNA (ACOM_LNC043142)". Lineage: Eukaryota; Viridiplantae; Streptophyta; Magnoliopsida; Poales; Bromeliaceae. The record is from RNAcentral.
GUGAGCGGAGGGAUCGCUCUAGGACUGGAGGUGUUGCGAAAGGCGGAGAAAAAAGUUUACCUUGCGCAAUCGCGGUGAUGAGCAUGUGUUGUUAUGUGCCGGCGAAAUUUGGAAUUCGUGGGUGGAGGCGACGUCUUUUUAGGGUGUUACCCAUACAAGUGUAAGGUAGGAUGGUGUCGAGGAAAGUUUAGUUCUCGAUACGU